GUGCCCAAGCAUUGAGGCAGUCAAAGUAGGCAAAUCCGCUUUGAUAAUGCUGGGAUGUGAUGGGGAGCGAAAUUUAGUAGCGAAGUAGCUGAUUUCACACUGUCAAGAAAAGUCUCUAUCGAGGUUAAAGGUACCCGUACCGCAAACCGACACAGGUGGGUGAGGAGAGUAUCCUAAGGCCAGCGAGAGAACUGUUGUUAAGGAACUCGGCAAAAUGACCCCGUAACUUAGGGAUAAGGGGUGCCACCAUCAGGUGGCCGCAGAGAAUAGGCCCAAGCGACUGUUUACCAAAAACAUAGGUUUCUGCUAAGUCGCAAGACGAUGUAUAGGAGCUGACGCCUGCCCGGUGCUGGAAGGUUAAGGGGAUCUGUUAGAGCAAUCGAAGCAGUGAACUUAAGCCCCAGUAAACGGCGGCCGUAACUAUAACGGUCCUAAGGUAGCGAAAUUCCUUGUCGGGUAAGUUCCGACCCGCACGAAAGGCGUAACGAUUUGGGCACUGUCUCAACAACAGACUCGGUGAAAUUGUAAUUCCGGUGAAGAUGCCGGAUACCUGCGACAGGACGGAAAGACCCCAUGGAGCUUUACUGUAGCUUGACAUUGGGUCUUGGUACUACAUGUACAGGAUAGGUGGGAGGCUUUGAAACCAGGACGCCAGUUUUGGCGGAGCCAUCCUUGGGAUACCACCCUUGUA
This 691-nucleotide ribosomal RNA is filed under the name Clostridioides difficile. Its description in RNAcentral is "partial 23S ribosomal RNA". It matches the Rfam family "Bacterial large subunit ribosomal RNA", at positions 1508 to 2210 of the family's 2925-position model. Lineage: Bacteria; Bacillati; Bacillota; Clostridia; Peptostreptococcales; Peptostreptococcaceae. The record is from RNAcentral.